UUAUCUUGUUGAUAGAAUAGUUAUUUGCAGUAUACUAACUGUUGGCAUACUCUAUUUCAGGACUAUCAAUUGUUUUUGUCACUGGCAGUCUUUGAAAUACAAUCUUGCUCUGUGGCCUUUACUGACAAGUUGGCUUUUACUACAUAUGUGGCACUGACACUUCUUUAAUUAAUGCACCAGUCAAUGUAAACCCCCCAACCAGGGAGGGGCAGGGAUUUUGACUUGGAGGGGUAGUAAAAGAGCGAAAUUGUCCCCGCCCCCAGGGACAUCAAUGUCCCCUGCAUGUCUCUCAACCCCAGGAAAAUAGUUUUGUAUAAUCAUAGAUCAGCAAUAGAAAAUCAAAUUCAUUUAUGUUGUUGUAUUUAAACUUUUCUUGUCAAGAAAACUAAAACAGCAACACAGGAUAUAUAUGUUAACCACUGUCCAAGUCUCCCAUCAUCGGGGACAAAUUUAUAAUCAAAACUGACCACUUUCCCCGCUAAACCUUCCACCCCUCCCCGGUUGGGGGCAGGGAUUUACAUUGACUGGUGCAUAACUAGAUGAUUGCAUGAAGCAUUGCAUGGAAGUUGAUUUAUAAUUAGUUUAUGAAUAAACUCACACUUUCAUUAUAAUGGUUCAGGGCUGAAAAUAAAUAUUUGACUUGACAGGACAUUUGUCCGAUCACUUUUAAUUUUGGUCGGACAUAACUUGAAUUGGGUCGGACAAAAACCAACAUCACUAAAUUUGGUCGGACAUACAUGUCACAAGAUAUUUAGAAGUCACGAGACAAGUAUGUAUGCCAUUCUGGCGC
RNAcentral lists this long non-coding RNA (790 nucleotides) under Paramuricea clavata. Lineage: Eukaryota; Metazoa; Cnidaria; Anthozoa; Malacalcyonacea; Plexauridae. The record is from RNAcentral.